RNAcentral lists this long non-coding RNA (978 nucleotides) under Coturnix japonica (Japanese quail). RNAcentral describes it as "lncRNA (ENSCJPG00005012438.1)". The record is from RNAcentral. Lineage: Eukaryota; Metazoa; Chordata; Aves; Galliformes; Phasianidae.
ACACAAUAAAAACAAUUCAUGUAAAAUAUUAAUAUGGGAACUAAUUAGAGAUGAGAUGGAGUGAGCUGUAAUUAUAACUAUGUCAAACCCAAAACAGUAAGAAAAAUGUCCCUUCUGCCCAACCAAGAUAAAUACCUGUGUACGCUGGCAUGCCGAAUGCUACUUUCCAAACUGUAGCAUUAGUAUGCAAAGAAAUACUUGAAUAGUAUCUAAUUCAAAAUAAAUACUUGGAAUUUUCAGAAAGGUAUAAAGGGGAUGGGGAGGAAAGGAGAAGGAAAAAGAAAGCAAAAGAUAGGUUGGCUUUGAUUCUAAAAAUUAUGUAAUUUUCUAUUUUUAGUGGAGUUUAAAACAGUGUAGGGACUAACAAUGCAUAAUUGAUUAUAAAUCAAUUUUCAUUCCAGAUGCGAUACCAGGUUUCGGCAAAGCUUGCUUGGGUAUCUGAGGAGGUUCUUUUUGAGACAUGAUUUUAUCAAUUGUGGAUGUACCAGUAAGUUCCACUCUGAAUGUCUAAAACCAGGCAAAGUAGUGUUGAUUCUUCAAGAAGUAAAUAUGCAAAAGAAUAGCAGAUUGGAAUUUACAGACAGGUCCCAGAAUCAACUACAGCUUCAGUGGUAAGGUAGCAAAUGAAGAAGACAAUGUAUUUGUACUUGAAAAUUACAUCUUUACCUUGAUCACAGUACUGUGGUGAACCCAUAUUGCAGACUUGACUCUCCAAACGUCCCUUCGAACCACUACAAUCCUUAUUUGGCAAAUACGAACAAUGUGAAAGUAUGGAGAAAAAAUGCUGCAGAUUUAAGUCUUGACAUCACAUUUAAAGGAAGUGAUUUGCUUAUCUGCAGUACCUGUCAUAUUUUGACUUCAUCCUUUCUGAUGAUGAAAAGCAGCAAAGGAAACACAGUAGUCAGAAUGCCAGGUUUUCCAGGUUGGAGAAUUCACAGCAGUAACCGUCUCUACUCUUUGGAUUAUUUUUCUUCCUAA